This 297-nucleotide unclassified non-coding RNA is filed under the name soil metagenome. RNAcentral describes it as "partial contains 5.8S ribosomal RNA, internal transcribed spacer 2, and large subunit ribosomal RNA". The stretch from base 1 to 120 matches the Rfam family "5.8S ribosomal RNA", at positions 35 to 154 of the family's 154-position model. The record is from RNAcentral.
GAUGAAGAACGUAGCGAAAUGCGAUAAAUAAUGUGAAUUGCAGAAUUCCGUGAAUCAUCGAGUCUUUGAACGCACAUUGCACUCCUUGGUAUUCCGAGGAGUACGCCUGUUCGAGCGUCAUUACACUCUCAAGCUCUGCUUGGAUUUGAAUCCCUGUCGGGGCAGGAUUCCAAUAUUGUCGGCAAUUGAUCAUCUGUGAUGACUCACUUGGAGUUAAUUCGCCUACCUCCUUCUUCCAGUUGACCUCGGAUCAGGCGGGGAUACCCGCUGAACUUAAGCAUAUCAAUAAGCGGAGGA